This 253-nucleotide ribosomal RNA is filed under the name uncultured bacterium. Its description in RNAcentral is "partial 16S ribosomal RNA". It matches the Rfam family "Bacterial small subunit ribosomal RNA", at positions 524 to 776 of the family's 1533-position model. The record is from RNAcentral.
UACAGAGGGUGCGAGCGUUGUCCGGAAUCACUGGGCGUAAAGGGCGCGUAGGCGGCGCGGUAAGCGUGCGGUGAAAGCCCGGGGCUCAACCCCGGAACUGCCUUUAAGACUGCAUCGCUUGAAUCCGGGAGAGGUGAGUGGAAUUCCGAGUGUAGAGGUGAAAUUCGUAGAUAUUCGGAAGAACACCAGUGGCGAAGGCGGCUCACUGGACCGGUAUUGACGCUGAUGUGCGAAAGCGUGGGGAGCAAACAGG